CUUCACCGAGCCCAGCCGGAGCGGACGCUCCCGCGGCUCCCGCCCGUACGUCGCCAGAAACGCCUCCGCCUC
Molecule: non-coding RNA, 72 nt
Organism: Streptomyces cyaneogriseus subsp. noncyanogenus
Lineage: Bacteria; Bacillati; Actinomycetota; Actinomycetes; Kitasatosporales; Streptomycetaceae
Rfam family: ASpks TB sRNA
Source: Rfam